UACGUAGGGUGCAAGCGUUGUCCGGAAUUAUUGGGCGUAAAGAGCGUGUAGGCGGCCCGAUUAGUCCGCUGUGAAAGUCCAGGGCUCAACCCUGGAAUGCCGGUGGAUACUGUCGGGCUAGAGUCCGGAAGGGGCGAGUGGAGUUCCUGGUGUAGCGGUGAAAUGCGCAGAUAUCAGGAGGAACACCAAUGGCGAAGGCAGCUCGCUGGGACGUGACUGACGCUGAGACGCGAAAGCGUGGGGAGCAAACAGG
This 253-nucleotide ribosomal RNA is filed under the name uncultured bacterium. Its description in RNAcentral is "partial 16S ribosomal RNA". It matches the Rfam family "Bacterial small subunit ribosomal RNA", at positions 524 to 776 of the family's 1533-position model. The record is from RNAcentral.